UCCCCAUACGCACACAUAUUUCAUGGCCUGAAAACGCCCAAUACCAUUGGUACAUGGAUAUCAAGCGCAUCGAUCAAGCGCAUCUCCGGGGCAAAAAACGACGAUUCUCGCCUGACGGCGCCAGUUACCGCACUGCUCACCGCUGCUGAAGUCUCCGGCCGAUACCCGUCAGAGAGAACAUGAAAUUUCAGGGGGCUUUCUCUCUAUAAAUUCAUUAAUUAUUGCAGAUUUUCUCUCUUUAUUUUCUAGACCAGACACAUGAUUCGAAGCAUGGGACUCACUUCCGUCGUCUGCAACAAUGGCUUCAAAGUUCUUCCUGCUUACGAGGCCAGCCUGGUCAGGGUUUCGCCAGCCUCAGCGUUCAGGAUUAGUGUUCACCCCUUCUAUUCAGGUCGCAGGGGGUGUCGUCGAUGGCAUUGUCCGCCGAUUGGAUGUUCGAGAGGAACCGAGCAGGAGGAAGGGCUGUCUCGCUCAGUUACUUUGUUAUAGUUUCUCUGGAUAUAAUGUUUUGUUCAACUGCAUACCAGAAGGCGAGAUACCCAGUCCUCAAUCUUCUCACAGUAUUAACAGUGUUGAGACCUCUCCAACUAUCCUUUCAAGUAACCCGAAGGAAAAGAAAGAUGAAAAUGAAAAUUAUGGGGCUCAUGUUAGAACUGUUGUUAAAUGUGUAUGUGCAGCGGUUGCAUUUGGUAUUGGUUUGGGCUUCAAAGAUGGAGUUGGCAAGGCAUCUGAGUUUUUUGCUGGGUAUUUACUGGAGCAGAGUUUGUCAGUGGACAAUCUUUUUGUAUUUGUUUUGAUAUUCAAGUACUUCAAAGUGCCAAUUCCUUAUCAGAGUCGGGUGCUCUCGUACGGAAUUGUUGGUGCAAUCAUCUUCCGCUUGUCGCUGAUCCUUCUUGGAACAGUCACCCUUCAGAGAUUUGAAGCAGUAAACCUGUUGCUGGCUGCAAUACUUCUGUAUUCGUCAUUCAAGCUAUUUGCUGGUGAGGAAGAAGACUCUGAUUUAUCAGACAACUUUAUAGUAAAGACAUGCCAGAAAUUCAUCCCUGUCACGUCUACUUACGAUGGAAACCGAUUCAUAACAGUUCAAGAUGGUGUUUGGAAAGCCACACCUCUACUUCUAACAGUAGCAGUUAUUGAACUCAGUGAUAUUGCAUUUGCAGUUGACUCUAUACCAGCUGUUUUUGGUGUUACUCGAGACCCUUUUGUAGUUUUCAGCUCUAAUCUCUUUGCCAUCUUAGUUUUUUUCUUCUUGCAUGGUCUCAAGCUCCAAGGCCUCCGGCUUCACUCUCCGGUUGGCUGGAAAAGCCAUUUCUGAAGCAUGCUACUUGAUGGCCCCACAAAGUAAACCACUGUUGCCUCAGAGAUUGCCUAGAUCAUUCUACUGCCUCUUGCCUGAAAACCCUGACCUGCUCUGAGUGCUCUCCCUUCCUUCUGGGUCCCUUUCCCUCUCCAAGCUUCCUCUCCACCAUCAUCUUCUGUUCUCUCUUGUUGUUUUCUUUUUCAGGUAACGUUCUGUGCAUUGCUAAAAAUUUUCUCCUCCUAAUCUGACCACUUCUGCUUCAUCUGCAUUUUUUUUUCUCUUUUUAGAUUUUUUUCCUCAUUUCCACAAACAUUUGUUCUUCUGUGUUUGGUGCUAUACGAAGUGUUUACAGUAGGAAACUGACGAUUUUUUGCUUCAGCUGCAUUUACCCCUGUUUUUGAGCUAUUUUUUUGCUUAUUUCUUGACGUAAAUAUUUGUUUCUUGUUGUUGCUUCUAUGUGAAGUGUUUUAAGCACAAAGCUGAUGAAUUUUUGACUUCGGCUGCAUUUUUUUUUCUCUUUUUGAGCUAAUUAUAUACUUUUCAUUUCAUCUCUGUUGAUAAACCUGUGAACCAAUCACACAGCCACAGGACCAAGACCAAGAGAAGUACCAAGAAACAAUACGAAAUUGGAAGCCAAAACAGAAACAAAUAUCACAACACAACGCACCCAAGAACAAAGAGAUUUCGGAUCAAAAGAUCCUACUCACGGCAGAGGCUCCACCUCUAGUCAAUCUACUAGAAUAAUCAAGGAAUUUACAGAAUACAUAUACGCACAAGAUCAUCAUGGCAACUCACAAAUUAGAAACCAUAACAACGAGAAAUGCAAACGAGUACAAUGCUCAAAAUACCCGAGCAACCCAGCCCUCAUAUCUCAUCAAUCUCUCACAAAAACCACCCCAAGUGAUACAUACUAACUGUGAGACAAGAUUGGAAUCGCACGCUUUUUUGUUCCUUCUGAUUGCCGAGUUCGCCUUUCCCGUUCUUCGAUCUUGCUCAUUCGUUCUGUUCUUCUUCUUGCCUUUUCUCUCUCUCUAUUUCAGAUUAGGGUUUCUCGUGUGUGAAAGUGUAAGAGAAAAACCUUUUGUCUUAAUUCCCCCAAUUUGUUGGCUAUGAAGCACCAAACGACAUCAUUGGAUUAAGCUGGUUGGAGGGUCACGUGCAGCAACUGCAGCCUGCCAAUUGGUAGCUAUUGGAUGGCAGCACAUAGCAACCAUCAGCUGCUCUCUGAUGGCGCCCAAUUGCCUUUUUCUUGCCUGAUCUAAUUCCUUGCUCGUCUGCCAUUUCUGUUGGAAUAAUCAUCGUGCUUGCACGAUUGGAUCUCAGCCCUUCAUCCAUGCUUUAUGAGGCCUGUUCCAAGCCAUCCAUCAUCGCUUUUAAUCCCACCCCCCAAGAUGUGAACCGGUCAAAUGAUUGAGACGAAAGAAUCGAUAAGAAACAAAAGAAAUGGGGAAAGAAAGAUCGGGCAGAUGGGAGAACCUUCGUCUUCAGGCUAGGGUUUCUGGUUUGCAUCUAUUUCAUUCUCUGUAUAUGCUUGUAUAGCUUGGUAGUUAUAUGGUUCGAUAGGUUUUCUGCCUUUAAUCUGUAUUGUGUGAUUAUUGGGCAUUUUUGAGUUCACGAACCAUUGAUUGUACAGAUAGUUUAUGAGGGUUUUGUGAGGGUGUAAUCCUUGAUUCAUUACUUAGUGCAGUGAGCUCUUCUCACCAGAGCUUAACGUGGAUGUAGCCUCUUUUGAGGUGAAUCACGGUAAAAUCCUCGUCUCCCUUUAUUGUUGUCGUUUCUGUGUUUAUCGUUUCCACUUUGUGUAUGUGCGUUCUGCUUCCGAUUUUGGCUAUCUUUAAUCUUUGAUUGAAUUGGUUUCGGUAAAUACCCUAAGGUAUUGUUGUUUAGUCCCAACAAUCUCCAUAAACAUUUAUUUCUCUGUUACUGCUAUCUGAAGUGGUUACAGUAGAAAGUUGAUGAUUUUUUACUUUAUCUGCUUUUUCUAUCUAAUAUUUUUGUUUUUUGUGUUGCUCCUCAGCUGAGUGUAAGCCUCCUAGCAACGGAUUUUAUUUGUUGUUAUUGCAACAUUCUGUUGUAUGUGAAAUUGUUUCGGUAUAAAACAAAAUUUUCAACAUCAUAUAGAAUAAAAAAAAAAAUCAACACAAGCAUAGGCCUCAAAUAACGUUUUGGUUUUUGUUUUAGAUUCUUGAAAGCAGGUAGCAUUAUCAACACAAGAAUCUGAAAAUGAGAACGGCAAAUGAUCACUUGAAAAUUAACAAUAAAAUCAAAUGGGCCACUGGAUAACAUUUUCUAUUUGAUCUGUCAAUCUGCUUCUCCUUAUUAGGUAAUGAAUGUUUCCUUAAAUGGAGCUCUAUUUGUUCUUCUACUCAAUUAUCUACUAAUUAAAACACAAGGGCAUCAGUGUAGCAAAGUUUAGCCCCUUCAUUGACGUCAUCUUGUUCUACAAAUGUAGGUCUGAGGUCGCUGUACACCCUUAUUUCUGAGGGUAUGUCCGACUUGGAGUAUUUACAGCCAUCCAUUGGAGUUGUUCUGGGCUUUAUUGGGUUGAAAAUGAUCUUAGACUUCUUUGGUUAUCAUGUAUCAACUGAAGUUUCUCUUGGU
Molecule: RNA transcript, 3901 nt
Organism: Diospyros lotus (date-plum)
Lineage: Eukaryota; Viridiplantae; Streptophyta; Magnoliopsida; Ericales; Ebenaceae
Gene name: thylakoid membrane protein TERC, chloroplastic
Exons: 14
Source: RefSeq, a predicted model, not a curated record